UUCAAGAAAAAUGUAAUAGAAACUUAAUUUGUUUGAUGAGUUUAUUUGUCUCUUAUAUGUACCUGGUUGUGUGUUCACUUCAUUUCUUUUGUUAAAUUAAUUUGUUUCAUCUUUGGGGUAACAGAUAAACACCUACAAUGGCUUCUAUUGUGAUGAAUUUACUCCAAAUAGUCCCUAUAUAUAAUAAGAGGAGGGUAAACUUUUUUUUUUAAUAUGACACUAAAAUUUAGAAAUGAGGAAAUGAAAUAUUAUGGAUGGCAUAACUUUCUGUUAAAUAUGAAGGUUUACAGAAUUUGGAGGUCCAAUUCACAAAAGACUUGUCCAGGAUUUGGCAUUUGCAGCUGCUAGAUUUAUAAUAAGAGGAAGGUCCUUUGUAAACUACUACAUGUAUCAUAGAGGAACCAAUUUUGGACGAACAUAAACAGACGUAAAUUAGAAAUUACUACUUUGGAAUCUGUCAUUGCUCAGUCACAUGAAGGGCUUAAUCGUUACAAAGAAGAGAGAGACAAGUUACAUGGGGAGAGAAAGUCCCUAUGGGGCAAAGAGAAUAAACUUACUGCUGAAAUUGAUAAGCUGAGAGCUGAAGUUGAGAAGGCUGAAAAGAGUCUUGAUCAUCAUGCAAUUCCUGGUUGCAACAUUGGCGAGGAAUCAACAUUCAUAAUUGAAUAUCUCUUGUCAAAUUUGGUCUAUGUACAUUUUCACUUAACAGACAUUUGUAAAUCAAUUGUAUCUCUUGACAAAUAUUGUCUGGUCUUCAACUGUAUAUUUUAUGAGUGCUUCAUAGAUAAGCUCAAUGAGAAUGGGAAGAUUACGCACAAUUUGUUCAAGUUUGAAGCAAAUAUUUAGCAGUUAGUCAACUCUGUUACCAUGAUCAAGGAUAUAAAAAAUGUGAAGUUUGAGCCAUUCAGGCUCAUCAUUCAGGUACCUACCCUCCUAUUUUAUCAUUACAUAUUUGUGAAGUUAGUGGUUUCAUUUUGGAUUUCUUUUGUUAUUGAUCACCACACGUGACAGUCCAAGAUGAGUAAAGAAUACCCAAGUCAUCACUCAAGUACUGGAUUGUAGUAGAUACGGUCAGGAGGUAUAAAUUAGUAAUUAUUUUUGAAUAAAUAGAAUAAGUCAUGUGAAGAUUGGUGAAGCUAUUCAUUGUCCUGUCUUGGUGUUUGAUUCAUAUGUGUUGAAUUUGCUUGUUUAUCAUCACUUCUUCAAUGCAGCUUUUGGAUUUAGCAUUUCUCCCUAUCAAUUUGUUUUACACAUUAUGAGGAUUAUCAAUAUGCUAAACUUCUAUCUACCGAAGAACAUGUAGAACUGAGAACUUUUGAAUAUAUGGUGGCUAUAUCUUUUUCUAUGUACAUAGGCUAAAACAAUUCAUCAUGGGUGUAUGUAUUUAUUUGAUAUAUCAUUUAUGGAAGACCACUAGCUUGCCAACUGCAAUGCCAAUUGAAGAUAAUUGUAAAAAAUUGGAUUUUGGUGUAUU
This is a long non-coding RNA of Glycine soja, 1474 nucleotides long. RefSeq lists it as uncharacterized. NCBI's taxonomy places the organism in Eukaryota, Viridiplantae, Streptophyta, Magnoliopsida, Fabales, Fabaceae. The transcript has 4 exons. The record is from RefSeq and is a predicted model, not a curated record.